This 1087-nucleotide long non-coding RNA is filed under the name Mus spicilegus (steppe mouse). RNAcentral's name for it is "lncRNA (ENSMSIG00000007809.1)". The record is from RNAcentral. Lineage: Eukaryota; Metazoa; Chordata; Mammalia; Rodentia; Muridae.
CAUGAUCCUGUCAUCUCUAUGGCAAUGCUUAGUCCUAGAACAAGAAUACCUAAGUGGCCUGUGUAGAUUAGCAUUUGGAAACAGAAAAAAGAAACAAGAAAAAAAAAAAGGAAAAAGCUGGAGACAUAGGAAGAAGCACACAGCGAUAACCUACAGAAUGCAAACUACUUAAAGCUUCCUCCUCAUGAUUCCUAAGAUUCAAUAAUCGUCUGCCUCCAACUCAAAAGAGAACAUGGCCAAUCAAAUAUUUAUGAAACUAUGUUUUAUAAAGUUGAAUAUUUAAAGACUUAUAAUGUUGAAAGUAAAAGUAUCUGAAGAAAACAUGAGCCUAAAACACUGAAAGACAUCACCAACUUCCUAAUCUGAUGGGAUGUGCUAAGGACACGCCUCAAUAUGCUCCCAGAGAGAAGCAACAUGGGAAGUAUAAUUCUUCUGAUUCCAAUGUGAGGGAAUCUUUCAUAUAUCAAACACUGAAAGCAAACAAAAAUGUAAUUGAAAAGAGUGUAGUCUGAAAGGAGAAUAUCACCUCCCCUCAAGGACAUAGUAUAGAAACUUGGAACCCAGAUGAGAGCAUUCUAUGGAAGCUGGGAGUCAGGGCCUAGGGGAACUGAAGAUCACUGGCGCCAUUUUGGAUCCUGCCCCUCAUUUCUCAUUCUCCUUCCAGCUCCCCUGAGGGAGUCAGCUCUGAUCUUCCCUAACUUACUAACUCCAUGAUGCUCUCUGCCAUCUGAGCUCCAGAAACACCAGAAUCAACUGAAAAUGAAUUGAAAGUGUUGAACCCCUAAGCAAAAACAAAUCUUGAUAUUUUAAAGUUGGUUUCCUCAGGAAUGUUGUUAUAAUGACAGACACUAACACAGAUGUAAAAGAGCAAUCAAAAUUUAAUGCUUAAGUAAUUCGGUAAAGACGGGGCUGGAUAACAGGACAACAAAUUAAAAUAGCAGCAGGUGAAAAAGAGUAGGAUAAACUUGCGAACUUGGCGAACACUGUUUUAGCAGAAAAUGGUAUCAAUCUCAGUUCAGUUUGGAAAAUAUUCAGAAGUAAAAGGGCACUUUUGAAAUAAAAUUAUGUGAUAAGGUGUGGCCUUCCA